GACGCUACGGACUUAAAUAAUUUGAGCGUUAGUAGAAAAACUUACAGAUAGAGUCCAAUUUUACAUGUUAAUCUUAGCAACAAUUUAAAUUGUAGUAGAAAGAAA
This 105-nucleotide transfer RNA is filed under the name Forsstroemia cryphaeoides. RNAcentral's name for it is "partial tRNA-Leu". The record is from RNAcentral. Lineage: Eukaryota; Viridiplantae; Streptophyta; Bryopsida; Hypnales; Leptodontaceae.